CCAGCAGCCGCGGUAAUUCCAGCUCCAAUAGCGUAUAUUUAAGUUGUUGCAGUUAAAAAGCUCGUAGUUGGAUCUUGGGUCGUAAGGGUCGGUCCGCCUACUCGGUGUGCACCUGCCCUUCCGUCCCUUUUGUCGGCGGCGUGCUCCUGGCCUUAAUUGGCUGGGUCGCGGUUCCGGCGCUGUUACUUUGAAAAAAUUAGAGUGCUCAAAGCAAGCUUAUGCUCUGAAUACAUUAGCAUGGAAUAACGUGAUAGGAGUCUGGUCCUAUUGUGUUGGCCUUCGGGACCGGAGUAAUGAUUAAUAGGGACUGUCGGGGGCAUUCGUAUUUCAUUGUCAGAGGUGAAAUUCUUGGAUUUAUGAAAGACGGACCA
RNAcentral lists this ribosomal RNA (371 nucleotides) under uncultured eukaryote. Its description in RNAcentral is "SSU rRNA". It matches the Rfam family "Eukaryotic small subunit ribosomal RNA", at positions 567 to 942 of the family's 1831-position model. The record is from RNAcentral.